CUGAGUGUAAAACUCCCAAACCCAUUGUGAACAUACCUACUGUUGCUUCGGCGGAUCGCCCCGGGCGCUCCUCUCCAGGGCGUGCCCCGGAUCCAGGCGCCCGCCUAGGGAACCUAACUCUUGUUUUAUUUCAGGAAUCUUCUGAGUAGUGAUUUACAAAUAAAUCA
Molecule: unclassified non-coding RNA, 167 nt
Filed under: soil metagenome
Description: partial internal transcribed spacer 1
Source: RNAcentral